GCUUGUCUCAAAGAUUAAGCCAUGCAUGUCUAAGUAUAAAUAGUAUACAGUGAAACUGCGAAUGGCUCAUUAAAACAGUUAUAGUUUAUUUGAUAAUUGAAAAUUACAUGGAUAACCGUGGUAAUUCUAGAGCUAAUACAUGCUAUCAAGCCCGACUUCUUGAAGGGUUGUAUUUAUUAGUACCAGAACCAACCCAAGUUCUGCUUGGUUGCAUCCUGAUUCAUAAUAAACGAAUGGAUUGCAUGCUUUGGCUGGCAAUGUAGCAUCUAAGUUUCUGACCUAUCAGCUUCCGACGGUAAGGUAUUGGCUUACCGUGGCAAUGACGGGUAACGGAGAAUUAGGGUUUGAUUCCGGAGAGGGAGCCUGAGAAACGGCUACCACAUCUAAGGAAGGCAGCAGG
RNAcentral lists this ribosomal RNA (400 nucleotides) under uncultured dinoflagellate. RNAcentral's name for it is "partial small subunit ribosomal RNA". It matches the Rfam family "Eukaryotic small subunit ribosomal RNA", at positions 30 to 432 of the family's 1831-position model. The record is from RNAcentral. Lineage: Eukaryota; Dinophyceae.